This 204-nucleotide ribosomal RNA is filed under the name uncultured bacterium. RNAcentral's name for it is "partial 16S ribosomal RNA". It matches the Rfam family "Bacterial small subunit ribosomal RNA", at positions 1296 to 1500 of the family's 1533-position model. The record is from RNAcentral.
GAUUGCAGGCUGCAACUCGCCUGCAUGAAGUUGGAAUUGCUAGUAAUCGCGAAUCAGAAUGUCGCGGUGAAUACGUUCCCGGGCCUUGUACACACCGCCCGUCACACCAUGGGAGCCGGUAAUACCCGAAGUCAGUAGUCCAACCUCGUGAGGACGCUGCCGAAGGUAGGAUUGGCGACUGGGGUGAAGUCGUAACAAGGUAUC